This 239-nucleotide ribosomal RNA is filed under the name uncultured bacterium. Its description in RNAcentral is "partial 16S ribosomal RNA". It matches the Rfam family "Bacterial small subunit ribosomal RNA", at positions 1246 to 1500 of the family's 1533-position model. The record is from RNAcentral.
GAAGCGAAGCAGCGAUGUGAAGCAAAUCGCACCAAAGCCGGUCCCAGUUCGGAUAAGAGGCUGAAACUCGCCUCUUUGAAGUCGGAAUCGCUAGUAAUCGCAGAUCAGCAUGUUGCGGUGAAUACGUUUCCUGGUCUUGUACACACCGCCCGUCGAACCAUGAGAGUCGCCAACACCCGAAGUCCGCUUUGCGGCCUAAGGUGGGGGAGAUGAUUGGGGUUAAGUCGUAACAAGGUACC